RNAcentral lists this ribosomal RNA (821 nucleotides) under Theridion kauaiense. RNAcentral's name for it is "SSU rRNA". It matches the Rfam family "Eukaryotic small subunit ribosomal RNA", at positions 965 to 1803 of the family's 1831-position model. The record is from RNAcentral. Lineage: Eukaryota; Metazoa; Arthropoda; Arachnida; Araneae; Theridiidae.
UGUUUCCAUUAAUCAAGAACGAAAGUUAGAGGUUCGAAGGCGAUCAGAUACCGCCCUAGUUCUAACCAUAAACGAUGCCAGCCAGCGAUCCGGCUGUGUUCCUCAAAUGACACGCCGGGCAGCUUCCGGGAAACCAAAGCUUUUGGGUUCCGGGGGAAGUAUGGUUGCAAAGCUGAAACUUAAAGGAAUUGACGGAAGGGCACUACCAGGAAUGGAGCCUGCGGCUUAAUUUGACUCAACACGGGGAAGCUUACCUGGAUAGGACACAGGAAGGAUUGACAGAUUAAGAGCUCUUUCUUGAUUCUGUGGAAGGUGGUGCAUGGCCAUUCUUAGUUGGUGGAGCGAUUUGUCUGGUUAAUUCCGAUAACGAUCGAGACUCUAGCCUACUAAAUAGGCGUUCCGAUCCUUGCUGUCGGACGCUCUUCUUAGAGGGACACGCGGCGUUUAGCCGCACGAGACAGAGCAAUAGUAGGUCUGUGAUGCCCUUAGAUGUCCAGGGCCGCACGCGCGCUACAAUGAAGGAAUCAGCGUGUGCUUUCCCUGUCCGACAGGACUGGGUAACCCGUUGAACCUCCUUCGUGCUUGGGAUAGGCGUUUGUAAUUGUCCGCCUUGAACGAGGAAUUCCCAGUAAGCGCGAGUCAUCAGCUCGUGUUGAUUACGUCCCUGCCCUUUGUGCACACCGCCCGUCGCAACAUCCGAUGGAAUGAUUUAGUGAGGUCCUCAGACUGGCGCUCGGAUUGAUCUUCUCGGUCGAGCCGGCGUGCCGGAAAGAUGAUCGAACUUGGUCAUUUAGAGGAAGUUAAAGUCGUAACAAGGUUUC